UACGAAGGGUGCAAGCGUUAAUCGGAAUUACUGGGCGUAAAGCGUGCGUAGGCGGUCUUUUAAGUCUGCUGUGAAAGCCCUGGGCUCAACCUGGGAAUGGCGGUGGAUACUGAGAAGCUGGAGUACGGUAGAGGAAGGUGGAAUUCCCGGUGUAGCGGUGAAAUGCGUAGAGAUCGGGAGGAACAUCAGUGGCGAAGGCGGCCUUCUGGACCAGUACUGACGCUGAGGCACGAAAGCGUGGGGAGCAAACAGG
RNAcentral lists this ribosomal RNA (253 nucleotides) under uncultured bacterium. RNAcentral's name for it is "partial 16S ribosomal RNA". It matches the Rfam family "Bacterial small subunit ribosomal RNA", at positions 524 to 776 of the family's 1533-position model. The record is from RNAcentral.